Molecule: ribosomal RNA, 567 nt
Filed under: uncultured bacterium
Lineage: Bacteria
Description: bacterial SSU rRNA
Rfam family: Bacterial small subunit ribosomal RNA
Source: RNAcentral
CCUACGGGAGGCAGCAGUGGGGAAUAUUGCACAAUGGGCGAAAGCCUGAUGCAGCGACGCCGCGUGAGGGAUGACGGCCUUCGGGUUGUAAACCUCUUUCAGCAGGGACGAAGCGCAAGUGACGGUACCUGCAGAAGAAGCACCGGCUAACUACGUGCCAGCAGCCGCGGUAAUACGUAGGGUGCAAGCGUUGUCCGGAAUUACUGGGCGUAAAGAGUUCGUAGGCGGUUUGUCGCGCCGUUUGUGAAAACCAGCAGCUCAACUGCUGGCUUGCAGGCGAUACGGGCAGACUUGAGUACUGCAGGGGAGACUGGAAUUUCUGGUGUAGCGGUGAAAUGCGCAGAUAUCAGGAGGAACACCGGUGGCGAAGGCGGGUCUCUGGGCAGUAACUGACGCUGAGGAACGAAAGCGUGGGUAGCGAACAGGAUUAGAUACCCUGGUAGUCCACGCCGUAAACGGUGGGCGCUAGGUGUGGGUUCCUUCCACGGAAUCCGUGCCGUAGCUAACGCAUUAAGCGCCCCGCCUGGGGAGUACGGCCGCAAGGCUAAAACUCAAAGGAAUUGACGG